GCGAAGGUUUUCAGAGUUAAAUGUUCUCAUGAAGAGCAUGGCAAAUCAAAUCUAACGCUCCCCCCACCUCCACUGGUCACUACCAAUUUUCCUCAACUUUCUUAGCAUCUCCCUCAGGCCCUAAAGAAGAGGAGGAAAGCAAAGUUCCUGUCUCCUGAUGUCACACUGUGAUGCGCAGUGUAAGGUAGUCGUGCUGGGAAGAAGAACUACCACAACACACCGAGAAACAGACGCAUCCCGACAUUUUGGACAGCUCAGCUAACGAAGUCAGCAAAGGAGAAACCAGUCUCUGGGCAAAACAGGAGGGAAACAAGAUGAGUAGCAUCAUCAGCUCUGGAGAGGAGCCUAGUGAUACCACAACGAUGGACAUUCAGGGAAGGAAGGAUGAUCCCACAGUGGCAGGGAAGUCAACACAUGCAACAGGGAGUAAAAGACCCAAGGAAACCUCAGAUUUCUGGUUUGGAGCUCUCACUGUGAUCUCUGACGUACCGCAUGAAGCACAUCACAGAACAUCAAAGCUGGAGAAUGCUACUGGAUUCUCUCUUCUUGGCUGAGGAUGGUGGCCAUAUUCCAGUUGUCCUGGGGUUACAAUACACAGAGAUGGACAAUGCAGAGAAAAGUCCCUUGGCCUCCACAGAUGUCUGGAACACAUUUAUUUGUCAAUAGCCUACUUAUAGUGUCUGUCUCCCGGCAAGAUAAAGUCUCCUGGAAUACUGACCAUUGAAAGCCAGGGAAUCAAGCAGCAUAAGCUCCCCAAAGAAGACGCAGCUCUCUGGUACCUGUUCUAAGUCACUUCGUACAACUUUGCUCUCUGUUGGUCCUCCGUUCGGGUGUGCCCUGUUGGAAAGGAUAAACACACAUGUGACAUAUUUAAAGUUUGAUGAAAGGACUGAAGAAUUCCAGCUGAUUUUUAUCCAACUUUAACACUUAGUUUUCAAGAAGCAAUGUGGCUUCACGAAUUGGUAAGAUUAAAAAGAAAUAUUUUAUCCUAUAUCCUUCUCCUUAGAAGACCCCACCUCACUGCCCACGCUGUGAACUGGGAAAAUAAUAAACUGUAAAAAAAAGUUUUAGAGAGGGUGG
This is a long non-coding RNA of Enhydra lutris kenyoni (northern sea otter), 1080 nucleotides long. RefSeq lists it as uncharacterized. The transcript has 5 exons. The record is from RefSeq and is a predicted model, not a curated record. Lineage: Eukaryota; Metazoa; Chordata; Mammalia; Carnivora; Mustelidae.